UACGGAGGAUGCAAGUGUUAUCCGGAAUGAUUGGGCGUAAAGCGUCCGCAGGUGGCUGUGUAAGUCUGCUGUUAAAGAGUCUAGCUCAACUAGAUACAAGCAGUGGAAACUACAAGGCUAGAGUACGUUCGGGGCAGAGGGAAUUCCUGGUGUAGCGGUGAAAUGCGUAGAGAUCAGGAAGAACACCGGUGGCGAAGGCGCUCUGCUAGGCCGUAACUGACACUGAGGGACGAAAGCUAGGGGAGCGAAUGGG
RNAcentral lists this ribosomal RNA (253 nucleotides) under uncultured bacterium. Its description in RNAcentral is "partial 16S ribosomal RNA". It matches the Rfam family "Bacterial small subunit ribosomal RNA", at positions 524 to 776 of the family's 1533-position model. The record is from RNAcentral.